UACCGCAUAAGCCCACGGGUCGGCAUCGACCAGAGGGAAAAGGAGCAAUCCGCUUUGAGAUGGCCUCGCGUCCGAUUAGCUAGUUGGUGAGGUAACGGCCCACCAAGGCGACGAUCGGUAGCCGGACUGAGAGGUUGAACGGCCACAAUGGGACUGAGACACGGCCCAGACUCCUACGGGAGGCAGCAGUGGGGAAUAUUGCACAAUGGGGGAAACCCUGAUGUAGCGACGCCGCGUGGAGGAAGAAGGUCUUCGGAUUGUAAACUCCUGUUGUUGAGGAAGAUAAUGACGGUACUCAACAAGGAAGUGACGGCUAACUACGUGCCAGCAGCCGCGGUAAAACGUAGGUCACAAGCGUUGUCCGGAAUUACUGGGUGUAAAGGGAGCGCAGGCGGGAAGACAAGUUGGAAGUGAAAUCCAUGGGCUCAACCCAUGAACUGCUUUCAAAACUGUUUUUCUUGAGUAGUGCAGAGGUAGGCGGAAUUCCCGGUGUAGCGGUGGAAUGCGUAGAUAUCGGGAGGAGCACCAGUGGCGAAGGCGGCCUACUGGGCACCAACUGACGCUGAGGCUCGAAAGUGUGGGUAGCAAACAGGAUUAGAUACCCUGGUAGUCCACACCGUAAACGAUGAUUACUAGGUGUUGGAGGAUUGACCCCUUCAGUGCCGCAGUUAACACAAUAAGUAAUCCACCUGGGGAGUACGACCGCAAGGUUGAAACUCAAAGGAAUUGACGGGGGCCCGCACAAGCAGUGGAGUAUGUGGUUUAAUUCGACGCAACGCGAAGAACCUUACCAAGUCUUGACAUCCUGCGACGGACAUAGAAAUAUGUCUUUCCUUCGGGACGCAGAGACAGGUGGUGCAUGGUUGUCGUCAGCUCGCGUCGUGAGAUGUUGGGUUAAGUCCCGCAACGAGCGCAACCCUUAUGGUCAGUUACUACGCAAGAGGACUCUGGCCAGACUGCCGUUGACAAAACGGAGGAAGGUGGGGAUGACGUCAAAUCAUCAUGCCCUUUAUGACUUGGGCUACACACGUACUACAAUGGCGUUAAACAAAGAGAAGCAAGACCGCGAGGUGGAGCAAAACUCAGAAACAACGUCCCAGUUCGGACUGCAGGCUGCAACUCGCCUGCACGAAGUCGGAAUUGCUAGUAAUCGUGGAUCAGCAUGCCACGGUGAAUACGUUCCCGGGCCUUGUACACACCGCCCGUCACACCAUGAGAGCCGGGGGGACCCGAAGUCGGUAGUCUAACCGUAAGGAGGACGCCGCCGAAGGUAAAACUGGUGAUUGGGGUGAAGUCGUAACAAGGU
Molecule: ribosomal RNA, 1306 nt
Filed under: metagenome
Description: bacterial SSU rRNA
Rfam family: Bacterial small subunit ribosomal RNA
Source: RNAcentral